RNAcentral lists this ribosomal RNA (253 nucleotides) under Mediterraneibacter faecis JCM 15917. RNAcentral's name for it is "[Ruminococcus] faecis JCM 15917 partial 16S ribosomal RNA". It matches the Rfam family "Bacterial small subunit ribosomal RNA", at positions 524 to 776 of the family's 1533-position model. The record is from RNAcentral. Lineage: Bacteria; Bacillati; Bacillota; Clostridia; Lachnospirales; Lachnospiraceae.
UACGGAGGAUCCGAGCGUUAUCCGGAUUUACUGGGUGUAAAGGGAGCGUAGACGGAGUGGCAAGUCUGAUGUGAAAACCCGGGGCUCAACCCCGGGACUGCAUUGGAAACUGUCAAUCUAGAGUACCGGAGAGGUAAGCGGAAUUCCUAGUGUAGCGGUGAAAUGCGUAGAUAUUAGGAGGAACACCAGUGGCGAAGGCAGCUCACUGGAGCGCAACUGACGCUGAAGCUCGAAAGUGCGGGUAUCGAACAGG